CCUAACACAUGCAAGUCGAACGGAACUGUUUUGAAAGAUUUCUUCGGAAUGAAUUUGAUUAGUUUAGUGGCGGACGGGUGAGUAACGCGUGAGUAACCUGCCUUCAAGAGGGGAUAACAUUCUGAAAAGAAUGCUAAUACCGCAUGAUAUAUCGGAACCACAUGGUUUUGAUAUCAAAGAUUUUAUCGCUUGAAGAUGGACUCGCGUCCGAUUAGUUAGUUGGUGAGGUAACGGCUCACCAAGACCGCGAUCGGUAGCCGGACUGAGAGGUUGAACGGCCACAUUGGGACUGAGACACGGCCCAGACUCCUACGGGAGGCAGCAGUGGGGAUAUUGCGCAAUGGGGCAACCCUGACGCAGCAACGCCGCGUGAAGGAUGAAGGUUUUCGGAUUGUAAACUUCUUUUAUUAAGGACGAAAAAUGACGGUACUUAAUGAAUAAGCUCCGGCUAACUACGUG
Molecule: ribosomal RNA, 459 nt
Filed under: uncultured bacterium
Lineage: Bacteria
Description: bacterial SSU rRNA
Rfam family: Bacterial small subunit ribosomal RNA
Source: RNAcentral